This is a long non-coding RNA of Pongo pygmaeus (Bornean orangutan), 580 nucleotides long. RefSeq lists it as uncharacterized. The record is from RefSeq and is a predicted model, not a curated record. The transcript has 3 exons. Lineage: Eukaryota; Metazoa; Chordata; Mammalia; Primates; Hominidae.
CAGGUCCUCAGACAGACCAGCCCAAGAAACAUCUCACCAAUUUCAAAUCUGGACCCCACUGAAAAUCAGGCUGUUCAACUCACCUGGUAGCCACUUCCAGAGCACCUGGAACUCUGGCCCAAGGCUCUCUGACUCCUUCCCAGAUCUUCUCAGCUUCGCGGCUGAAGACUGACGCUGCCCGAUCGCCUCAGAAGCCCCCUAGACCAUCACGGAUGGCGAGCUUCAGGUAACUCUUACAGUGGAGGAAGCCACAGGCAGAAACAAGGAGAGAAGAAAGGAGUAACGAAUCGGUGAUGGAACAGGAAGGAAUCAACUGAGGGAAGCAAAGGGCUGCUGAGUCACAAGCAUGACAGGCAACUAGAAUCAGCCCGGGCUCCCCAGAGCUGCUGCUCAUCCUGAACACUGCGGGCUUGCUCAGAAUUUCCUGGCUGUCCUUUCAGACUUCGUGUGCAUCGUGACAAUACGCCACUCUCACCUAAGGAAAUCUAAGGAUGUCGCUACCCUGAAAUAGCCAAAUACUCCAGUUGAAUCUAUUUGUUAAAGCUUGGUCAACCAGAUUUGUUUCUAAGGAGACACUGAC